UUGGAGGGCAAGUCUGGUGCCCCCAUUCGCGGUUAUUCCAGCUCCAAUAGCGUAUAUUAAAGUUGUUGCAGUUAAAAAGCUCGUAACUGAAUUUUGGACCUGGCUGGGUGGUCUUGCCGAAAGGUAAGCACUGCUCUGGUCGGGUCUUUCCUUCUGGGGAACCUGCGUGCUCUUGAUUGAGUGCGCCGGGGAUCCAGGACUUUUACUUUGAAAAAAUUAGAGUGUUUAAAGCAAGCUUACGCUUGAAUACAUUAGCAUGGAAUAAUAGAAUAGGACUCUGGUUCUAUUUUGUUGGUUUCUAGGACCUAAGUAAUGAUUAAUAGGGAAACUUGGGGGCAUUAGUAUUUAAUUGUCCCAGGUGAAAUUCUUGGAUUAAUGAAAGACCAACUUCUGCGAAAACAUUUGCCCACCGAUGUUUUCUUUAAUCCAGUACGAAAGUUUGGGGAUCUCUAAAUCAUCAGAUACCGCUCUUAUUCUUAACCUAUUAACUAUUUCCUACCAAGGAACAGACGAAUUUAACUUAUUUACUUGUUCCGUGCCUUUUCUGGCAAC
RNAcentral lists this ribosomal RNA (552 nucleotides) under uncultured Spizellomycetales. RNAcentral describes it as "bacterial SSU rRNA". It matches the Rfam family "Eukaryotic small subunit ribosomal RNA", at positions 548 to 1098 of the family's 1831-position model. The record is from RNAcentral. Lineage: Eukaryota; Fungi; Chytridiomycota; Chytridiomycetes; Spizellomycetales.